AUUGAACGCUGGCGGCAUGCUUUACACAUGCAAGUCGAACGGCAGCGCGGGGCAACCUGGCGGCGCGUGGCGAACGGGCGAGUAAUAUAUCGGAACGUACCCAGAAGUGGGGGAUAACGUAGCGAAAGUUACGCUAAUACCGCAUACGAUCUACGGAUGAAAGUAGGGGACCGCAAGGCCUUAUGCUUUUGGAGCGGCCGAGACCUGAUUAGCUAGUUGGUGAGGUAAAGGCUCACCAAGGCGACGAUCAGUAGCUGGUCUGAGAGGACGACCAGCCACACUGGAACUGAGACACGGUCCAGGCUCCGACGGGAGGCAGCAGUGGGGAAUUUUGGAAAAUGGGCGCAAGCCUGAUCCAGCAAUGCCGCGUGAGUGAAGAAGGCCUUCGGGUGGUAAAGCUCUUUUGUCAGGGAAGAAACGGUAGAGGCUAAUAUCCUUUGCUAAGGACGGUACCGGAAGAAUAAGCACCGGCUAACUACGU
Molecule: ribosomal RNA, 481 nt
Filed under: uncultured bacterium
Lineage: Bacteria
Description: partial 16S ribosomal RNA
Rfam family: Bacterial small subunit ribosomal RNA
Source: RNAcentral